ACGGUGGAUCAGGGAGGAAAAGGAAGGUAUGAAGAAAAGAAGAAGAAGAAUGAAAAAAAAGAGCAUGGGGACAAUGUAACUCUAUGAUGGUGGAUCAGAGAGGAAGAGGAAGGUAUGAAGGAAGGAAGAAAAAGAAGAAUGAGAAAAAAAAGAGAAGCAAGGAAAGAAAAAAAAAUAUCAAGAUUGGUUUAACUUUUAAGGUAGACUAAUUCAGGUUUAAAAAGAGUAAGAAAAAAAGAGAGAAGCGAGGGAAGAAAAAAAUAAUUAUCAAGAUGGGUUUAAGAUAGACUAAUUCAGAUUUAAAAAGCGUAAGAAACAAAGAUAAGCGAAGAAAGAAAAAAAAUAUCAAGAUUGGUUUAACUUUUAAGAUAGACUAAUUCAAGUUUAAAAAGAGUAAGAAAAAAAUAAAGAGAAGUGAGGGAAGGAAAAAAAAACAAAUAUCAGGAUAGGUUUAAGAUAGACCAAUUCAAGUUUAAAAAGAGUAAGAAAAAAAAAGAAAAGCGAGGGAAGAAAAAAAUAUCAAGAUGGGUUUAAGAUAGACCAAUUCAGGUUUAAAAAGAGUAAGAAAAAAAAAGAAAGACAAGCGAGGGAAGAAAAACAACAAAUAUCAAGAUGGGUUUAAGAUAGACUAAUUCAGGUUUAAAAGGAGUAAGAAAAAAGAAAGAGAAGCAAGGGAAAAAACAAGAUCAUCAACAACAAGAUUUUAAGAUAGACAAAUUCAAGUUUAAAAGAGACACAUGUAAGAAUUGUGUUAUUAAUAAGUUGGAGGUGAGUAGAAAACAGACAAGAAUCAGUUCAUUAAUAGACUGGUGAAUGAGUGGCAAACAGGCAAGAAGAAAUAGGCCACGAUGAGAGUAGUGGAUGAGUGGAGCAGGCUUGGCAGCGAGUCAAAGCGUUAGUGCCAAUACGAUAGACACCUUCGAAAGUAGGCCAGAUAAAAGAAGUAAAAGAAAAGAAGAAAGAAAAAACAAGAAAAAAUAAGAUCACUAAGAAGUAAAAGAAAGAAAAAUGAGAAGUAGAAGAAAAAGAAUGAAGAGAAGAUAAUAAAGAAAUGUUUCACAGGUAGGGGAGUGAAAUUAACUUUACACUCAUGCCAAAACGAUACACUUAAAAAAAUAAAAACAUUAGAUAAAGUCAUGGAUAGACUGGAUUGGCAAUGUCAGGACCUGUUUAAUGUGGCUGGCUGACCGAUCCCUUACAGACUCUUUAUCCUCUGACGAAAAAAAUAAUGAAAAAG
Eriocheir sinensis (Chinese mitten crab) is the source of this 1237-nucleotide long non-coding RNA. RefSeq lists it as uncharacterized. The record is from RefSeq and is a predicted model, not a curated record. Lineage: Eukaryota; Metazoa; Arthropoda; Malacostraca; Decapoda; Varunidae. The transcript has 2 exons.